AACUAACGCUGGCGGCGCGUCUUAAACAUGCAAGUCGAACGGUAGUCCUUGAGCUUGCUUAGGGAUGAGAGUGGCGAACGGGUGAGUAACACGUGAAUAAUCUGCCUCCGGGUUGGGGAUAACGUUCCGAAAGGAGCGCUAAUACCGAAUAAGAUGGUAGCUACACAAGUAGUAGUCAUUAAAGGUGGGGACCGUAAGGCCUACCGCCUGGAGAUGAGUUCGCGGCUGAUUAGCUUGUUGGCGGGGUAAAAGCCCACCAAGGCGACGAUCAGUAGCCGGCCUGAGAGGGUGAACGGCCACAUUGGGACUGAGAUACGGCCCAGACUCCUACGGGAGGCAGCAGUUAAGAAUCUUGCGCAAUGGGAGCAAUCCUGACGCAGCGACGCCGCGUGAAUGAUGAAGGCCUUCGGGUUGUAAAGUUCGAUAAGCAGGGAAGAAUAAGCGCCGGGUAAUAUUCGGUGUGAUGACGGUACCUGCCUAAAGCCCCGGCUAACUACGUG
RNAcentral lists this ribosomal RNA (500 nucleotides) under uncultured organism. RNAcentral describes it as "bacterial SSU rRNA". It matches the Rfam family "Bacterial small subunit ribosomal RNA", at positions 29 to 507 of the family's 1533-position model. The record is from RNAcentral.